This 482-nucleotide ribosomal RNA is filed under the name uncultured bacterium. RNAcentral's name for it is "partial 16S ribosomal RNA". It matches the Rfam family "Bacterial small subunit ribosomal RNA", at positions 28 to 507 of the family's 1533-position model. The record is from RNAcentral.
GAUGAACGCUAGCGGCAGGCCUAAUACAUGCCAGUCGGACGGGAUUCAGGAGCUUGCUUCUGAUGAGAGUGGCGCACGGGUGCGUAACACGUAUGUAACCUACCUUUAUCAGGGGGAUAGCCUCUCGAAAGAGAGAUUAAGCCCGCAUAAAAUCACAGCACAGCAUUGUGUAAUGAUCAAAUAUUUAUAGGAUAAAGAUGGGCAUGCAGAACAUUAGCUAGAUGGCGGGGUAACGGCCCACCAUGGCGACGAUGUUUAGGGGAUCUGAGAGGAUGGCCCCCCACACUGGUACUGAGACACGGACCAGACUCCUAUGGGAGGCAGCAGUAAGGAAUAUUGGUCAAUGGGCGGAAGCCUGAACCAGCCAUGCCGCGUGCAGGAAGACGGCCCUACGGGUUGUAAACUGCUUUUAUACGGGAAUAAACCCAGAUACGUGUAUCUGGCUGAAUGUACUGUAAGAAUAAGGAUCGGCUAACCCCGUG